CAGGUGGUGCAUGGUUGUCGUCAGCUCGUGUCGUGAGAUGUUGGGUUAAGUCCCGCAACGAGCGCAACCCUUGUCUUUAGUUGCCAUCAUUAAGUUGGGCACUCUAGAGAGACUGCCAGGGAUAACCUGGAGGAAGGUGGGGAUGACGUAAAAUCAUCAUGCCCCUUAUGCUUAGGGCUACACACGUGCUACAAUGGGUAGUACAGAGGGUUGCCAAGCCGUAAGG
Molecule: ribosomal RNA, 226 nt
Filed under: Clostridioides difficile
Lineage: Bacteria; Bacillati; Bacillota; Clostridia; Peptostreptococcales; Peptostreptococcaceae
Description: partial 16S ribosomal RNA
Rfam family: Bacterial small subunit ribosomal RNA
Source: RNAcentral